GUAAACAAAGCCAAAAAAAAAGAGGCAAUCCUUUGUUAAAGGUAGAAAUGAACUAUUCUGUUUUCA
RNAcentral lists this transfer RNA (66 nucleotides) under Dimorphostylis asiatica. RNAcentral's name for it is "tRNA-Asn". Lineage: Eukaryota; Metazoa; Arthropoda; Malacostraca; Cumacea; Diastylidae. The record is from RNAcentral.